AAUAUAGAAUUGUUUUAUAGUCUUUUAAAAUGCCAGUCAUAAGUUAUUUUCAGCCUAUUUGGCAAAUUGUAAGCAGCUAGUUUGGUGUACCGGAUUCUAGGGGACAUUUGCCUUUUAUUAAAAUUGUCUUUGAUUUCAGGGCCGUCAGUGUUUUUAUUGUGUAUAUGGUUUUCCUUGCAUUAAGCUGCCUGGUAUUGUUAUUGGACACGUAGUGGACAUAACGAUCGUUUUGUUGUUCUUGUUCAUGACUCGUUUCGAAGGAAUCGAUUUUCUCUUUGAUUACUGGACCAAUUGCUUUGAAAUUAUCAGUGGUUAAAAAUAGAAUUUUUUUCUCCAGAAUGCUAUUACCUUUAUUUAUUUCAAAAUUUUCUGUGGACUUCCUUUUUUUUGUGCGAAUUGGUGAUCACAAUGAAAAAUAGCGGCACCUUGUGCGAUUGCAGCGAAGAAGCAAACGUGUUCUUGCUCGCUAAGAGUUGUUGUGAACUGCGCGGUAUGUUAGUCGUUGGCGAUACCCGUACCUGGUGUUAUAAUACAGUAGUGUUUCGGAUCGCUGGUGUUACUGCAGUUGCAAGUCGGAUCAUCUUGCAACUUCAAUUGAAGCUGGCACAAGACAGGAACUAGUGAAGAUAGGACAGUUUCGGUACCGUAACACAGCACGUUCUGCGGUAAACAACAUCAAUAUGCCAAUGAAGAAGCAUUACAAUAGUGUUCAACAUGUUAUGAAAUAUGGUGGUCGCAGUUUUAUCAAUGCGAAAAAUAUUCUGGUUUAACAGCGUGAUGCAAUUAUUGUAAAUAGCUUUCGUGUCCAUGUAUUCGAGCAUUGCUCUCUUGUGUUGUUGUUCUUUGACACGUUUUCAGACACCUAGUGGAAAACCUACAUGAUCGCUUUUCUCUUUGAUUACGAGACCAAUUGCUCUGAAAUUUUCAGUGGUUACAGAUAAAAAAUUUCUCCAGAAGGUUAUUACUGUUACUUAUUUUAAAUAUUUCUGUUAGCUCUGAGAAGUAAACUCUCUCUCUAUUCGUUUAAAAUACUGACUUCUGGACUUGGCUAAUUUUAUACAUAUGUGAAUGAUAUCAAAACUUGUCAUUUAUUUCGUUCCAUCCAUGUAUUUUCAACUGUAAUAAAAAUAAAACAUACUUACGCCU
This is a non-coding RNA of Styela clava, 1146 nucleotides long. NCBI's taxonomy places the organism in Eukaryota, Metazoa, Chordata, Ascidiacea, Stolidobranchia, Styelidae. The record is from RefSeq and is a predicted model, not a curated record.